CAGAGGGGGCAAGCGUUGUUCGGAAUUACUGGGCGUAAAGGGCGCGUAGGCGGCCUUCUAAGUCGAACGUGAAAUCCCCGGGCUCAACCCGGGAACUGCGUCCGAGACUGGAAGGCUCGAAUCCGGGAGAGGGAUGUGGAAUUCCAGGUGUAGCGGUGAAAUGCGUAGAUAUCUGGAGGAACAUCGGUGGCGAAGGCGGCAUCCUGGACCGGUAUUGACGCUGAGGCGCGAAAGCCAGGGGAGCAAACGGGAUUAGAUACCCCGGUAGUCCUGGCCCUAAACGAUGAAUGCUUGGUGUGGCGGGUAUCGAUCCCUGCCGUGCCGAAGCUAACGCAUUAAGCAUUCCGCCUGGGGAGCACGGUCGCAAGGCUG
RNAcentral lists this ribosomal RNA (372 nucleotides) under uncultured organism. RNAcentral's name for it is "bacterial SSU rRNA". It matches the Rfam family "Bacterial small subunit ribosomal RNA", at positions 526 to 896 of the family's 1533-position model. The record is from RNAcentral.